RNAcentral lists this ribosomal RNA (310 nucleotides) under uncultured eukaryote. RNAcentral describes it as "partial 18S ribosomal RNA". It matches the Rfam family "Eukaryotic small subunit ribosomal RNA", at positions 1470 to 1796 of the family's 1831-position model. The record is from RNAcentral.
CCCUUAGAUGUUCUGGGCGGCCCGCGCACUACAAUGGCGCUUUCAGCGAGUUCCUAUGUUGAAUUUUCCUGGGUAUUCUUGGAAGCGGCGUCUUGACUUGGGUUAGAUCCUUGUAAUUGUUGGUUUUGAACGAGGAAUUCCUUGUAAUCGCGGUUGAUCAGCUCGCGUUGAAUACGUCCCUGCCCUUUGUACACACCGCCCGUCGCUCCUACCGAUGAAUCGUCCGGUGAAGUUCACAGAGUGGCGGUUCGUGGAGUUGCUCGCGAAGUGAAAUGGACCUCACGAUUUAGAGGAAGGAGAAGUCGUAACA